UUCCAGUUAUCAUUUAGGGUCAACAAAUCAAGCAUAAAUUCUCAAUAGCAUUGCAAAAUGACAUAAUAUAUUCGCAAAAUAAGUCCACUCUUCCUUAGGAGUUGGGUUUUUAACUCCACAAAUAUUUGCGUGUAGUGUUUGAGUGUAGAAGCAUCGAUAUAAUAUAAUUGGGAACUUGUGAAGAAAAUAUUUUAGUACCUAAGAGAGCAUGUUUAUUUUUUUGGGUUGUCGCUGUGGCCUAUGAAUGUGUGAAGACUUACAAUGCACUCCGUUAGUCUUAGCUAGGCAUCUUUAAUUUGCCCUUGUUGUUCUCGCACUAGUAUUUGUGGGGACAGGCCAACUAUCAGAACCCUUUCGCCCUGGCGUUGAUUUCGGAUCUAAACAUUCGUUAUCGUUCACUUGAGGUCAAACAAAUCAAGUAUAAAUUCUGAAUGGCGUUGCAAAAUGGCACAUUAUAUUGUAAAAUAAGUCCAGAAUGUAUACUAUAUCAACAUUUCUUGGAAGUUGGGUGUUUGUCGUGUUAACUCUCCAAGUAUUUUGUGUGUGUUGUUUCAGUGUGGAGGAUUGCCUCAAAGGUGUAGGUACAUCCGUUACAUGUUUUGCCUAUAUUCCGGUUUUCAAGUGGAACAGUGAGCUUCAAAAAUGUGAAUCUGCAGUAUACGGGGGUUGCCACAAAACAAAUAACAAAUUUUUUACGAUAGAGCAAUGUCGACAAAUUGCACAACCGGUAUGUAAAGGCAUAAAGUAACUUUAAGUUGUUUAUUAUAUUAUAGUUUAAUUAACAUUAAUAAAAUCGUUUGUACAAAUA
Anoplophora glabripennis (Asian longhorned beetle) is the source of this 808-nucleotide long non-coding RNA. RefSeq lists it as uncharacterized. The transcript is spliced from 4 exons. The record is from RefSeq and is a predicted model, not a curated record. Lineage: Eukaryota; Metazoa; Arthropoda; Insecta; Coleoptera; Cerambycidae.